ACGCUUGGGCAGCAUAUACACUAAAACUGGAACGAUACAGAGACAAUUAGCAUGGACCCUGAGCAAGGAUAAUACGCAAAUUCGUGAAGCAUCCCAUAUCUUG
Molecule: small nuclear RNA, 103 nt
Organism: Molossus molossus (Pallas's mastiff bat)
Lineage: Eukaryota; Metazoa; Chordata; Mammalia; Chiroptera; Molossidae
Source: RefSeq, a predicted model, not a curated record